GAACGGAUUAUGUGAUUAUUCACAAUUGCAUAUGUCUCAUAAUAGAGGCAAAGCAAUUAUUAGCGACUGAAUAUGGCUCCCAAGAGGAGCAGUGCGAUAUUAUAGUGAAUAAUAUAAUAUUAUUAUAGUGAAUAAGAAAAAACACGAAGCUUUUGAUUUCAGUUGGUUAUAAGCUCUAGCUAUCUCUCUCCCAAUUAAGUUUUAUUUGCCACUGGUUUGUUUGUUCUAGAGCAAAGCCACAUUGGGUUAUCUGCUGUGCCCACUGCGUGGAAUCAAACCCCGGAUUUUAGCAUUGUAAACUUACCGCUGGCCCACCGGGGAACUAUUUGACACUUUUAUUAAAUGUCCAGAGUGUUCGAGCAAAUCCUUCACAGACUUCGGCAGUGGUAGUGUUCAUCGUCACGUAGGAGACUCACGUCUUAGGCACCGACUACUAUGAUAGAAUUGUUUUAUCAACACAGAACCCUCGAUCAAAUGUAUAGAACUAAAAACCUCACUUUCAAAGCUCAAGAACCCAUUUUGUGAUUAUCGAGUCUAUCCAAUCACGAGCGGAGAUUAGGGAGUGGCAAGUGGGUGCAUUGCCCCUAAACUGUCAACGUAUCACCAAAAGUUGAUAAGUCCGUAAGGGAAGACUCUUCAUGGUACCUAUUAAUCCCCAUUUCCCCCCCUCCAAUGUGAAAGUCAGUCUACACCUUUGUACCUAAUAUGGAAUUACGAAGACUAGAUUGUUCAUUGAUUUCUUUACGUCAACUACAUGUCAUCUAACGUUUGUGCUAAUAAGAAAUAUAUAUAUUUUUAAAAGAGCGUGUUGAUUAUUCGAAUAAUAUACAUUUUCGACUGUAGCAAGUGUAAAUUAAUCUCCAGAAAGAGAAAAUGAACAUCAGUACGUUAUCAUAACGCGAUAACUUGCUUUACAUGCCUAUCAUAUAUUAUCAUAAUUAUUUUUAGUACUUUUAUUUUAUUUCUAUUUUAAUGGUGAGUUCUAAAGUUUCUUUAAAAAAUGAUAAAAAUAAUCAUGAGAAUGAUUCCUAUAUGAAAUCAGGUUGAUUGUUUUGAUGUAUAUAAACAUAUUUUAUUCUCCUGUGUAGGGGUCAUAUUGCUUUUGAAUUGCUUCUAUUUCUUCUUCAGUGUGGUCCUCCAGCGGAAAGUCUACGGACUUACAACGCUAAAUGCCGGGGCUCGAUUCCCCGCGGUGGAUACAGCAGAUAGUCCAAUGUGCUCUAAAGUUCUAAACAAAAAAAUAACAUUUUGUUCUUUUUCAGUGUAGGGGUCAUAUUGAUUUUGUUAUUCUUGUGUUUCUUGCAUAAUUGAUCAUAAUAUUAUACUUUCAUAUCUGUCAUAUUUGCUUUGAUUGCUUUCAUGGAGCCUUGAUGUCUUUAUAUAUCUUCCACAAAAUUUAUCGUGACAGUUUGUUAACCCUAGAAUGGCAUUUCAAGUCUCUAUUACCAUAAAGUUACAGCUCGAAUACUGACUGUUUUAAUCUUAUUUGUUUUGUUUGGUGCAUUGGAUGUCAUACUAACAGUAUAACAUAAAUUGUUAACAUGUAUCAUCAAAAUUCAUCACUUUUCGGUCAUUUUCAAACAUGAUAAUUAUUCUUUUUUUUUAAAUUUUUGCCAGUUUAUAUGGUCUCAGAAGAAUAUAAAAUCAUUUGAACGAGUUUACAAAACUAUUACAUUUUUUUUUGAAUUACUGUACCAAAAUCAGUAACCUUCAUUGUUGAGUGGCUAUAGAAAAAUAAGUAACUCUUAUAUUUAAGUGAUUUUACUAACAUCAGUAAUCUGUACUUCUAAUUACUUUAAUGUAAUAGCUUUUUCCUUUAAAUAUGAGUCAAGAUUUUAUUUAAAUAUGUACCGCGGAUUUCACUGACAAGUAAUCUUUAGAUUUUCAUGCUUUAAUUAAAAUAUGUUGAUCUUAAGUUUUAAGCACCUUGAAAGUAAGUAAUAAUAAUAAUAAUAAAACAAUAGAAAAAUGCUAUUGCCAGGAGUUUCAAGUCAUUCUAUGAAAGAAGUAUUUCGGUAUCGUAUAAACAGUUUCUCUUACAUUUUCAAGUGUUCCUCAAGUGGAAAACUUCUGAGAGUUAUCAAGAAAUGUAAUUAGAGUAAUGUAAAGUAUUCUUCAUCGUACAGCUAAAUCAUUAUAUUUUAUUGAAAACCUCUUUUUUAAUGCUUUAUCAGCCAGAAAACGUAAAAAUAAAUAAAUACUGAAUGAAAUAAAAAAGUGGGGAAAAUGUCA
Long non-coding RNA from Limulus polyphemus (Atlantic horseshoe crab), 2232 nucleotides. RefSeq lists it as uncharacterized. The transcript has 3 exons. The record is from RefSeq and is a predicted model, not a curated record. NCBI's taxonomy places the organism in Eukaryota, Metazoa, Arthropoda, Merostomata, Xiphosura, Limulidae.